This 421-nucleotide ribosomal RNA is filed under the name uncultured bacterium. Its description in RNAcentral is "bacterial SSU rRNA". It matches the Rfam family "Bacterial small subunit ribosomal RNA", at positions 355 to 774 of the family's 1533-position model. The record is from RNAcentral.
UAAGGAAUAUUGGUCAAUGGACGCAAGUCUGAACCAGCCAUGCCGCGUGAAGGAUGAAGGUCCUCUGGAUUGUAAACUUCUUUUAUCUGGGACGAAAACGGGAUUUUUAUCUCAAUUGACGGUACCAGAGGAAUAAGCACCGGCUAACUCCGUGCCAGCAGCCGCGGUAAUACGGAGGGUGCGAGCGUUAUCCGGAUUUACUGGGUUUAAAGGGUGCGUAGGUGGGCUUAUAAGUCAGUGGUGAAAUCUCCGAGCUUAACUUGGAAACUGCCGAUAAUACUUUAGGUCUUGAAUUAUCUGGGGGUAAGCGGAAUAUGUCAUGUAGCGGUGAAAUGCUUAGGUAUGACAUAGAACACCAAUUGCGAAGGCAGCUUACUACAUAUAAAUUGACGCUGAGGCACGAAAGCGUGGGUAGCGAACA